GUUGCGGUGGCCGAGUGGUUAAGGCGUUGGACUUGAAAUCCAAUGGGAUCUUCCCGCGCAGGUUCGAAUCCUGCUCGCAACA
Molecule: transfer RNA, 82 nt
Filed under: Nematostella vectensis (starlet sea anemone)
Lineage: Eukaryota; Metazoa; Cnidaria; Anthozoa; Actiniaria; Edwardsiidae
Rfam family: tRNA
About the family: Transfer RNA (tRNA) molecules are approximately 80 nucleotides in length.
Source: Rfam by way of RNAcentral